Zonotrichia albicollis (white-throated sparrow) is the source of this 2770-nucleotide non-coding RNA. Lineage: Eukaryota; Metazoa; Chordata; Aves; Passeriformes; Passerellidae. The record is from RefSeq and is a predicted model, not a curated record.
AAAACAACUACGAAGAAACAGCUGAAAGAUGAAAAAGCUAAAGUAAAAGAAGAUCCACGACAUCAAAACCUGACAUCAGCUCCUGUCCGCUACUUUCAAUGUGUCUUCCUAAAUGGACCUAAUGGAUUUGGGCUGCAAUUUCCAAUUAAUUCCCCUUCAAACAAGGAAGAAAAGACUCACUCAAAGACUUCCAAGAGAAAGACAAGGAAACCGGGGCAGUAGAGAGACUGAGUCCUGUGAUCACUGACAUUUUGCACUUUAUCUUUUCUGCUGAGGUCCACAGUAGCUACAGUGGUACUUGUCAUUGCAGGAACGCGAUCCACUUGCACGCAUGUACCUGGAACUGUUUCCAUGGGGCAGCGGCAGAACAAGCAGUAAUGAACGGUGUUUAACAAAGAUAGAAAUGUAAAAGUGCCCAGUUUCUCAUGGAAAGGCUGCAAUGCUAACAAGGCAUUGAUGUGACUGUGUGUGUGAGCAUGUGCGUGUGUUUUCAUGCCUCUUUCGCUCUUGUUUUUCUUUACCUACAUGCUCAGCAUUGAAGUGAGUCUGUUUUCCACUUAAUCUUAUCUAAGGAGUGAAAGGUUGAACAUAGCUCUUAUAUCAGCAAGAUUGCAAGACUAGCUGCAAUCCUAAACCAUUUCUUCUUAAUGUUUAAUCAAAUUGCUGACAGGAAAAUGCCUCACUAAGUCAUGAAAAUGUGCUCUGUGACUGGUGCUAUUUUUAUGUCUCAUUGACCAGUGUAGCCUGAAGCUCACACUUACUCGGAGCAGCUCAAUACACUAUCAGUAAGUUGACUCCACAAGUCAUAUUAAUGAUGAAUAUUUCUAUUUAAUCUGAAACUUAAAUGGACUGUUUGCCCUGUCAGUUGGUGAAAUACAAACUCUUCUCUUCCUAAGGCCCUAAGUGAGAAGAGAAAGUGAAACCAGAUGGCAAAGGUUAGGAAAAACGCUGUUUUACCAACAUGGAGGUUCGGAGAAACAAUUGAAGUAAUUAUAGUGCUUCCACUUUUCUUCUGCUGCUAAAUCAGAUUGUUUUGCGGUAAAAGCCAUGUAAAUGGACAAUAUAACAGCCAACAAUUUGCUAUUAGCUUAAGCCAGAUGAAAAGCUAGGAUGUGAGAUGCCAUUCAUGAAACUAAAGCAACCCAAAUUUGCAGUAAUUAUGUGAUUUUUUGAUGCUGAGAUCAGUGAACAAAAACAAAACCAAACCCAAACAAACGAAGAAUCAGAAAAAAAAUGAAACAUAAACACAUUAAAUAAUCCAGGUAUUUCAUUUUACUAGAUUAAAUGAAAGAACUUCCUCACAGCACACUACUGGAAGUGGCUUACAGUAGAACCAAAAGUAGAUGCGCUUGUCCUAAAUCUUCUUUUGUGCAUUUAUGAAGAAAUAAAGAAUUUGUUGCCCUAAAAAAGAGACGAGAUGGCAUUUGAUCUAUUUAAAGGCACAUGAAUGAAAAUUGGCAUCUCACCAAUCUAUGUCUGGCAAUGUAAAUAAUGCCUUUUUGCAAGCUGCUAUUUAUUUGCAUUUCCUUACUAUAUUUUUUUUGCAUUUAAUCUGGGAAAUAUACAGCAGUGACUUUAGUUAUGUAGUUGCCUGCUGAAGCAACAUGAUCCUCUUUGUGCAAAACCACUACUUGUUGAGUCUGAACACACCAAAAACUGUAUAUCACUUUUUUUAUUUUUAGUAUAGACCAAGAUAACAUUGGCCUCCUCCCUCUUACACUCUCCCUGCCCAUCCAUCUUACUUUAAUCAAAUAAUUGACUCAGGUGAGUUUCAGACAGCUGAUUCUUUGACAGAUUACUGCAAUUCAGAAAGCUUUGCUGUUACACUGCUGGGUCCAGUUGGUAUUUUCUGAUUACUGGUCAUGGCCUUACAUGAACUGGAUCCUUGGUCUUAAUGUGCUCUGAUAUUGCACAGGUCAUGUGCUGCAAAACCUGUCAUUGCAACAAGCAGUUUAAGCAGUGGUGACCAGAAAGAGGUAGGAGCAGGUCCUGCUCUGGAAGUAGCUAUUCCCAUGUAGAAUCACACCAUAGACAGGAGUGUUCAUGGUGAAUGUCCCCACAGACCCUGAGAGAUCUGGUCUGGAGAUAGCACUGCCAACAGAGAAUUUUUGAUGGUAGAAUUAUGAUCUUCAAUUUUCUUUUGGUAUCUCUUUUUAUAUUUCCAGCAACUUCUUGCUUCCCAAUUUGUGAUUUUGUAUAUAUUAUGAUGGGUGUUAUUGCCCUAGGUUUUUACUGUGAAAGCUGUCUUAAAAAUGAGAUUUUAACUUUCUUUAAAAUCAUUUAAUUCAAGAUUUCAUCUAAUGCAAAUAAUCAGGACAAAAAAUUGUAUAAUAUAAGCCUUUAUUUUUGUCAUCAUCUUUUGGAACUUUUUUUUUUUCAUUAUAGUCAUUAUAGUUAGCCUUAAUCCUUCCUUCCCAUCUGAGAUGGGAGAUAACAAGAAUUUGUUCUGGAUCUCAUUUCCAUAAUGCUUCGAUUAGGAAUGUUUCAGUGUUAGAUAUCUGAAAGCUUUGGAAAUAUAAACAGUAAAUACGAUUGCAUAAGUGAUGUAAAAUCAGUAAUUUAAUUUUGUUUCCUCAUCUAUGUCACUGCCUAGAAAAACAGAAAAAACCAGAUCCACUCUCAGAGGGGCAAGCGUUCUACUCCUUAAAUUUACCUGGAAACAUUAAAAAUUUUCCUGGUUUGCAUGGUUUUACUAAAAUUAGCCUGAAAUAUUGCAUAAACUUAUGCUGUUUGUUAUACAUUUUGGAAAAUAAAAAAUAUAAACCCUGCU